AAACUCCGAGCCAUUGAAGGUUCCCCGCAAGGGGAUUGAAAGGGAAUCCGGUGCCAGGUCUUUGACCUGAAUUCCGGGGCUGCCCCCGCAACUGUAAUCGGCGAGCGUUUCGCCAACUCAUGCCACUGGAUGCGUCCGGGAAGGCGGGUGAAACGCGUUGAGCCGAGAGCCAGGAGACCUGCCUCAAUGUGUCCUUUUCA
RNAcentral lists this non-coding RNA (200 nucleotides) under Azonexus hydrophilus. The record is from RNAcentral. Lineage: Bacteria; Pseudomonadati; Pseudomonadota; Betaproteobacteria; Rhodocyclales; Azonexaceae.